RNAcentral lists this small RNA (27 nucleotides) under Bombyx mori (domestic silkworm). Its description in RNAcentral is "ovarian small RNA-13177". Lineage: Eukaryota; Metazoa; Arthropoda; Insecta; Lepidoptera; Bombycidae. The record is from RNAcentral.
CAGCAGAAGGUCCAACAGAGAGGGUUC